AAGAAAGUCAAGUUAUUAUAACAAAAAAUAACUUUCAACAACGGAUCUCUUGGCUCUCGCAUCGAUGAAGAACGCAGCGAAAUGCGAUAAGUAAUGUGAAUUGCAGAAUUCAGUGAAUCAUCGAAUCUUUGAACGCAACUUGCGCUCUCUGGUAUUCCGGAGAGCAUGCCUGUUUGAGUGUCAUGAAAUCUCAACCAUUAGGGUUUCUUAAUGGCUUGGAUUUGGGUGUUGCCAGUCUCUGGCUCGCCUUAAAGGAGUUAGCGAGUUUAACAAUGUCGUCUGGCGUAAUAAGUUUCGCUGGUAAGACUUGUGAAGUUUGCUUCUAAUCGUCUUCGGACAAUUACUUUGACUCUGGCCUCAAAUCAGGUAGGACUACCCGCUGAACUUAAGCAUAUCAAUAAGCGGAGGAAAAGAAACUAACAAGGAUUCCCCUAGUAACGGCGAGUGAACCGGGAAGAGCUCAAAUUUGAAAUCUGGCAGUC
RNAcentral lists this ribosomal RNA (482 nucleotides) under Apiotrichum porosum. RNAcentral's name for it is "eukaryotic LSU rRNA". The stretch from base 30 to 183 matches the Rfam family "5.8S ribosomal RNA". Lineage: Eukaryota; Fungi; Basidiomycota; Tremellomycetes; Trichosporonales; Trichosporonaceae. The record is from RNAcentral.